Molecule: ribosomal RNA, 446 nt
Filed under: uncultured bacterium
Lineage: Bacteria
Description: bacterial SSU rRNA
Rfam family: Bacterial small subunit ribosomal RNA
Source: RNAcentral
UGCCAGACUCCUACGGGAGGCAGCAGUGGGGAAUAUUGCACAAUGGGGGGAACCCUGAUGCAGCGACGCCGCGUGAGUGAAGAAGUAUUUCGGUAUGUAAAGCUCUAUCAGCAGGGAAGAAGAUGACGGUACCUGACUAAGAAGCCCCGGCUAACUACGUGCCAGCAGCCGCGGUAAUACGUAGGGGGCAAGCGUUAUCCGGAUUUACUGGGUGUAAAGGGAGCGUAGACGGCAGGGCAAGUCUGGAGUGAAAGCCCGGGGCCCAACCCCGGGACUGCUUUGGAAACUGCCAUGCUGGAGUGCUGGAGAGGUAAGCGGAAUUCCUAGUGUAGCGGUGAAAUGCGUAGAUAUUAGGAGGAACACCAGUGGCGAAGGCGGCUUACUGGACAGUAACUGACGUUGAGGCUCGAAAGCGUGGGGAGCAAACAGGAUUAGAUACCCUAGUA